CAAAACUCGUAUCUUUUUACAAGAACUGCAUCGUCCCCGAGCUCAUUCUGCGAAGAGUUCCAAAAAACCAAAAAUGCGUCGAAAUUUCAGACUUGCCUGCUGAUCAUCAAAAACAAUAAACGUCGGACAACGGACAGUUCACGUCACGUCAUCCCUGUAAAGAUGAAAAAAAAAAUAGUAUAGUAUUUGUAAAUAUAUACUCAUGUACAUAGUAAAA
This is a long non-coding RNA of Cydia fagiglandana, 217 nucleotides long. RefSeq lists it as uncharacterized. NCBI's taxonomy places the organism in Eukaryota, Metazoa, Arthropoda, Insecta, Lepidoptera, Tortricidae. The record is from RefSeq and is a predicted model, not a curated record. The transcript has 2 exons.